UACCUGCAGCUCAAGUGGUAACCGCUAUUAUUGGGCCUAAAGCGUCCGUAGCCGGUUUGGUAAAUAUCUGGGUAAAUCGUGAGGCUUAACUUCACGAAUUUCGGAUAGACUGCCAGACUUGGGAUAGGGGGAGGUCAGAGGUACUCCAGGGGUAGCGGUGAAAUGUUGUAAUCCUUGGAGGACCACCGGUAGCGAAGGCGUCUGACUAGAACGAGUCCGACGGUGAGGGACGAAGCCCUGGGGCGCAAACCGGAUUAGAUACCCGGGUAGUCCAGGGUGUAAACGAUGUGGGCUUUGUAUUGGAGGUCCCACGUGGGCGUCCAGUGCAGAAGAGAAGUUGUUAAGCCCACCGCCUGGGAAGUACGGUCGCAAGGCUGAAACUUAAAGGAAUUGGCGGGGGAGCACAGCAACGGGAGGAGCGUGCGGUUU
RNAcentral lists this ribosomal RNA (429 nucleotides) under uncultured archaeon. RNAcentral's name for it is "bacterial SSU rRNA". It matches the Rfam family "Archaeal small subunit ribosomal RNA", at positions 474 to 903 of the family's 1478-position model. The record is from RNAcentral.